This 252-nucleotide ribosomal RNA is filed under the name uncultured bacterium. RNAcentral describes it as "partial 16S ribosomal RNA". It matches the Rfam family "Bacterial small subunit ribosomal RNA", at positions 524 to 776 of the family's 1533-position model. The record is from RNAcentral.
UACGGAGGAUGCGAGCGUUAUCCGGAUUUAUUGGGUUUAAAGGGUGCGUAGGCGGGCUUUUAAGUCAGCGGUAAAAAUUCGGGGCUCAACCCCGUCCGGCCGUUGAAACUGGGGGCCUUGAGUGGGCGAGAAGAAGGCGGAAUGCGUGGUGUAGCGGUGAAAUGCAUAGAUAUCACGCAGAACCCCGAUUGCGAAGGCAGCCUCCCGGCGCCCUACGGACGCUGAGGCACGAAAGCGUGGGGAGCAAACAGG